Long non-coding RNA from Cryptomeria japonica (Japanese cedar), 317 nucleotides. RefSeq lists it as uncharacterized. Lineage: Eukaryota; Viridiplantae; Streptophyta; Pinopsida; Cupressales; Cupressaceae. The record is from RefSeq and is a predicted model, not a curated record. The transcript has 2 exons.
CAUCCCAAUUUUCAAACGAGGUCACUGAACAACAAAAAAAAAUGGACAAAGACAUUGAAAAUAUUUUGCACGAGGCAUCGUCGGUGAUUGAACAAGAAAAAAAGGACGAAGAGAUUUUGUUGGCCAAGGUGUGUCUCCGCAUCACAACAAUAAUGUUCAUAUUGAGUUUCAUCGGAAUGGUUGAUUUGUUGCUGCUACCCCAAAGAAAAUGGGUUGCAAUUUUUGGGCCUCUAGCUUAUCCUGUUUUUGAUUAUAUCAUUUCAGAUGACUCACUCAAUUGCUUUUUAUUUGCAUUCAAGAGAAUUUUGUUUGAAGGA